AGCAGCCGCGGUAAUUCCAGCUCCAAUAGCGUAUAUUAAAGUUGUUGCAGUUAAAAAGCUCGUAGUUGAACUUCAGGCCUGUCCAGACGGUCCGCCUUAAUUGGUGUGUACUGUCCUUGGGUGGGUCCUACCUUCUGGCGAAGCGGCAUGGCCUUAAUUGGUUGUGUCGGGGAACCAGGACUUUUACUGUGAAAAAAUUAGAGUGUUCAAAGCAGGCAAAUAUGCUCGAAUACAUUAGCAUGGAAUAAUGGAAUAGGACGAUGGUUCUAUUUUGUUGGUUCUAGGACCGUUGUAAUGAUUAAUAGGGAUAGUCGGGGGCAUUAGUAUUCAAUUGUCAGAGGUGAAAUUCUUGGAUUUAUUGAAGACUAACUACUGCGAAAGCAUUUGCCAAGGAUGUUUUCAUUAAUCAAGAACGAAAGUUAGGGGAUCGAAGACGAUCAGAUACCGUCG
RNAcentral lists this ribosomal RNA (450 nucleotides) under uncultured Glomeromycotina. RNAcentral's name for it is "bacterial SSU rRNA". It matches the Rfam family "Eukaryotic small subunit ribosomal RNA", at positions 569 to 1020 of the family's 1831-position model. The record is from RNAcentral. Lineage: Eukaryota; Fungi; Glomeromycota.